This 164-nucleotide unclassified non-coding RNA is filed under the name uncultured Mucoromycotina. RNAcentral's name for it is "sequence contains ITS1". Lineage: Eukaryota; Fungi. The record is from RNAcentral.
UAAUAAGUGUUUUAUGGCACUUUUUAAAAUCCAUAUCCACCUUGUGUGCAAUGUUAUCUCACUACGAGAAGGGUCUUUCGAGAUUCUUUUUGCUUUGAGAUUAUAUAACAACCUAUCUUUAACCAGUUUGUCUGAAAAAUAUUAUGAAUACUUAAUUCAAAAUA